This 694-nucleotide ribosomal RNA is filed under the name uncultured bacterium. RNAcentral's name for it is "bacterial SSU rRNA". It matches the Rfam family "Bacterial small subunit ribosomal RNA", at positions 32 to 715 of the family's 1533-position model. The record is from RNAcentral.
AACGCUAGCUACAGGCUUAACACAUGCAAGUCGAGGGGCAGCAUGAACUUAGCUUGCUAAGUUUGAUGGCGACCGGCGCACGGGUGAGUAACACGUAUCCAACCUCCCGCUUACUCAGGAAUAGCCUUUCGAAAGAAAGAUUAAUGCCUGAUGGUAUCUUAAGCACACAUGUAAUUAAGAUUAAAGAUUUAUCGGUAAGCGAUGGGGAUGCGUUCCAUUAGGCAGUUGGCGGGGUAACGGCCCACCAAACCUACGAUGGAUAGGGGUUCUGAGAGGAAGGUCCCCCACAUUGGAACUGAGACACGGUCCAAACUCCUACGGGAGGCAGCAGUGAGGAAUAUUGGUCAAUGGGCGUAGGCCUGAACCAGCCAAGUAGCGUGAAGGAUGACUGCCCUAUGGGUUGUAAACUUCUUUUAUAAGGGAAUAAAGUGGAGUAUGUAUACUCUUUUGUAUGUACCUUAUGAAUAAGGAUCGGCUAACUCCGUGCCAGCAGCCGCGGUAAUACGGAGGAUCCGAGCGUUAUCCGGAUUUAUUGGGUUUAAAGGGAGCGUAGGCGGAUGUUUAAGUCAGUUGUGAAAGUUUAAGGCUCAACCUUGAAAUUGCAGUUGAUACUGGACGUCUUGAGUGCAUUAAAUGUGGGCGGAAUUCGUGGUGUAGCGGUGAAAUGCUUAGAUAUCACGAAGAACUCCGAUUG